UUUUGGACAAUGGGGGCAACCCUGAUCCAGCCAUGCCGCGUGAGUGAAGAAGGCCUUCGGGUUGUAAAGCUCUUUCGGCUGGGAAGAAAUCGCAUCUCCUAAUACGGGGUGUGGAUGACGGUACCAGCCUAAGAAGCACCGGCUAACUACGUGCCAGCAGCCGCGGUAAUACGUAGGGUGCGAGCGUUAAUCGGAAUUACUGGGCGUAAAGCGUGCGCAGGCGGUUUCGUAAGACAGACGUGAAAUCCCCGGGCUCAACCUGGGAACUGCGUUUGUGACUGCGAGGCUAGAGUUUGGCAGAGGGGGGUGGAAUUCCACGUGUAGCAGUGAAAUGCGUAGAGAUGUGGAGGAACACCGAUGGCGAAGGCAGCCCCCUGGGCCAAUACUGACGCUCAUGCACGAAAGCGUGGGGAGCAAACAGG
Molecule: ribosomal RNA, 422 nt
Filed under: uncultured bacterium
Lineage: Bacteria
Description: bacterial SSU rRNA
Rfam family: Bacterial small subunit ribosomal RNA
Source: RNAcentral